Molecule: long non-coding RNA, 378 nt
Organism: Lingula anatina
Lineage: Eukaryota; Metazoa; Brachiopoda; Lingulata; Lingulida; Lingulidae
Source: RefSeq, a predicted model, not a curated record
UUUUAAUUUGUUUAUGUUGUAGAAACUAAAUGUAAAAUAACGAUGCUAACUCUGUGACCUAUUUUCAACAUGGCGGGUACUAGGAUUAUCACCGGAGCAACUGUGGAGCAAAGCACAUCGUCUUCACAGUGUUAAAACAUAAUACUUUCUUAAAUUUAUGAAGAACACACACUAGAGAUGCUUAGGUACAUCUCAGAAGGAUUGGUGUGCACCAAAAUAUAACAAGAAAUGACCAUAGCAGCUGGUCGUCCUUAGAAUGUGCAUUUUUUGGUUGAACCACUUCAGACUGUUGUCAGGCUUGGGUUCCUCAAUAUAUCCAUCUCAUCGAUUUAGCUCUGGAUGUUUGUUGUAAGGGCUUUGUUACAUGUGUUAUCAUAA